GGUUAAGUUAGAAAGGGCGCACGGUGGAUGCCUUGGCACUAGGAGCCGAAGAAGGACGGGACUAACACCGAUAUGCUUUGGGGAGCUGUACGUAAGCGUUGAUCCAGAGAUUUCCGAAU
This 119-nucleotide ribosomal RNA is filed under the name Listeria monocytogenes. Its description in RNAcentral is "partial 23S ribosomal RNA". It matches the Rfam family "Bacterial large subunit ribosomal RNA", at positions 1 to 119 of the family's 2925-position model. The record is from RNAcentral. Lineage: Bacteria; Bacillati; Bacillota; Bacilli; Caryophanales; Listeriaceae.